ACCAGUUUUCCUGAGGAUGCCACUCGUUUGGUUGGAGAGCAAGAGAGGAUAUAGAUAGCCAGAUGCCUGGGAAUAUUCGGCUAAAAGCUGGCUGAGGAAAGUCGCGAGAUUCUCGCGGAUGAGGGCAGCCACUCGCGUGCGAAUCGUUUUCCUUUUCCUUCUUCUGUCUUACCCCUCACCCGAGCGAACCUUGACAGCUCCCUCGCCCGAACAAAGAAGCGGCGGCGAUGAUUUGGAUCGGGGUGGCGGUACGAGUCAACAAGGACUCCGGUGCAUUUCAGGUCAGACGAAGACACCCGUAGCAUCGUGCCAGUGAAGAAAAUAGUUGUAACUUGUCUAUGAUGUUGGACUAUAGUGUUGAGUGUUGGAUUAUGAAGUUCAACUUUAAUUCUAUUCACAGCAAACAUACAAAUGCCUAUCCCUAGCCACCUCUUAUCCUCCCAACCAAACAAUAAGAUGUGGUCAUCCAACUCACCCAAUCCCUCACAACCAAACGGCAUAAAUUGGCUAUCCCCAACCACCUGGUUAAGGAUAUCCUCAGCCAAGUCAUUCUCGCCCACGAACCAAACGCCAGCUUCGUGUUCAAUCUGGCAAUUACUCCGGCGAAUCACACAUCUCGUUUUGUAUAUGCAUAUGCGAUGUAUAAUAUGUUUUUUAUGUGUACUUAUUUAUAGUACAUAAAUUUAAGUGAAUGGCAGACAUGCACAUGUGAUGUGCUCCCUUCA
Molecule: long non-coding RNA, 725 nt
Organism: Triticum urartu
Lineage: Eukaryota; Viridiplantae; Streptophyta; Magnoliopsida; Poales; Poaceae
Source: RefSeq, a predicted model, not a curated record